GACGAACGCUGGCGGCGUGCUUAACACAUGCAAGUCGAACGAAAAGGCCCUGCUUUUGUGGGGUGCUCGAGUGGCGAACGGGUGAGUAACACGUGAGUGACCUGCCCUUGACUUUGGGAUAACUUCAGGAAACUGGGGCUAAUACCGGAUAGGAGCUCCUGCUGCAUGGUGGGGGUUGGAAAGUUUCGGCGGUUGGGGAUGGACUCGCGGCUCAUCAGCUUGUUGGUGGGGUAGUGGCUUACAAAGGCUUUGACGGGUAGCCGGCCUGAGAGGGUGACCGGGCACAUUGGGACUGAGAUACGCCCCAGAAUGCUACGGGAGGCAGCAGUCGGGAAUAUUGCACAAUGGGCGGACGUCUGAGGCAGCGACGCCGCGUGCGGGAUGACGGCCUUCGGGUUGUAAACCGCCUUCGCCUGUGACGAAGCGGGAGUGACGGUAAUGGGUAAAGAAGCACCGGCUAACUACGUG
Molecule: ribosomal RNA, 468 nt
Filed under: uncultured bacterium
Lineage: Bacteria
Description: partial 16S ribosomal RNA
Rfam family: Bacterial small subunit ribosomal RNA
Source: RNAcentral